Molecule: ribosomal RNA, 129 nt
Filed under: Mesocricetus auratus (golden hamster)
Lineage: Eukaryota; Metazoa; Chordata; Mammalia; Rodentia; Cricetidae
Source: RNAcentral
GUAUAUGGCCAUGCUAUCGUGAACAUGGUCAAUCUCAUCUAAUCUUGGAAGACAAGCAGGACCAGGCCUGCUUAGUGCUAGGAUAAGAGGGAAGGGAAUGCUUAUGUCAGAGCCCAGGUCUCAACAACU